GAUGAACGCUGGCGGCGUGCUUAACACAUGCAAGUCGAACGGUGAAGCCGGAGCUUGCUCUGCUGGAUCAGUGGCGAACGGGUGAGUAACACGUGAGCAACCUGCCCCUGACUCUGGGAUAAGCUCUGGAAACGGCGUCUAAUACUGGAUACGAGCUGCGAAGGCAUCUUCAGCAGCUGGAAAGAAUUUCGGUCGGGGAUGAGCUCGCGGCCUAUCAGCUUGUUGGUGGGGUAGUGGCUCACCAAGGCGUUGACGGGUAGCCGGCCUGAGAGGGUGACCGGCCACACUGGGACUGAGAGACGGCCCAGACUCCUACGGGAGGCAGCAGUGGGGAAUAUUGCACAAUGGGCGGAAGCCUGAUGCAGCAACGCCGCGUGAGGGACGACGGCCUUCGGGUUGUAAACCGCUUUUGGCAGGGAAGAAGCGAGAGUGACGGUACCUGGAGAAAAAGCGCCGGCUAACUACGUG
Molecule: ribosomal RNA, 468 nt
Filed under: uncultured bacterium
Lineage: Bacteria
Description: partial 16S ribosomal RNA
Rfam family: Bacterial small subunit ribosomal RNA
Source: RNAcentral